AAAAAAAAAAAAAUUAAGGAUCAAUUCGUUACAAAACUUCCACCAGGGAUUAAUUUGUGAGUUUUGUUAAAUCUCAGUGAGUUCAUUGUAAUUUACCCUUACAACAAGUCUGUUCUUUCUUUUGUUCAACUAAAAAAAAAUGUGUAGAAGAAUCUCAUGUUGAAGUGAAUUAUGUACUACUGCUUAAACAUCUGAAAGAGACUAAAAAAAAAGGUAACUGAAAGAGAACAAUCUUCCCUCUAGAGUCUGUUGUUUGAUUAAAGGCAUGCUGAUGUUCCUCCAACCUGUUCUUUCUCCUUCUUACUUUAUUAUUCUUUACCUUGAGAGAUAAAUUGAAGCAAGAAAGUCUCAGUACAUGCGCGUGCACUCACAAAUUUGUACAUUGAUUUUAUCAGGAACUGAAGCUCUGUUCUAUUUUUGUAGUUUCUCAAGCUGCUUCUAGAG
This 444-nucleotide unclassified non-coding RNA is filed under the name Hevea brasiliensis (rubber tree). Lineage: Eukaryota; Viridiplantae; Streptophyta; Magnoliopsida; Malpighiales; Euphorbiaceae. The record is from RNAcentral.